AGAGUUUGAUCCUGGCUCAGGACGAACGCUGGCGGCGUGCCUAACACAUGCAAGUCGAGCGGAGCUAAUAGUAAUAUUAGUUUAGCGGCGGACGGGUGAGUAACGCGUGGGCAACCUGCCUCACACUGGGGGAUAACACAGGGAAACUUGUGCUAAUACCGCAUAACAUCAUUGAAGGACAUCCUUUAAUGAUCAAAGGAGCAAUCCGGUGAGAGAUGGGCCCGCGUCCAAUUAGCUAGUUGGUGAUGUAACGGACCACCAAGGCGACGAUUGGUAGCCGAACUGAGAGGUUGAUCGGCCACAUUGGGACUGAGAUACGGCCCAGACUCCUACGGGAGGCAGCAGUGGGGAAUAUUGCGCAAUGGGGGAAACCCUGACGCAGCAACGCCGCGUGAAGGAUGAAGGUUUUCGGAUCGUAAACUUCUUUGAUGGGGGACGAAAUAAAUGACGGUACCCCAAAAACAAGCCACGGCUAACUACGUGCCAGCAGCCGCGGUAAUACGUAGGUGGCGAGCGUUGUCCGGAAUUACUGGGUGUAAAGGGCGUGUAGGCGGGAAUGUAAGUCAGAUGUGAAAUACCGAGGCUUAACCUCGGGGCUGCAUCUGAAACUAUGUUUCUUGAGUGUCGGAGAGGAAAGUGGAAUUCCCAGUGUAGCGGUGAAAUGCGUAGAUAUUGGGAGGAACACCAGUGGCGAAGGCGACUUUCUGGACGAUAACUGACGCUGAGGCGCGAAAGCGUGGGGGAGCAAACAGGAUUAGAUACCCUGGUAGU
Molecule: ribosomal RNA, 771 nt
Filed under: uncultured bacterium
Lineage: Bacteria
Description: bacterial SSU rRNA
Rfam family: Bacterial small subunit ribosomal RNA
Source: RNAcentral